CCAAUAGCGUAUAUUAAAGUUGUUGCAGUUAAAAAGCUCGUAGUUGAAUUUCGGGGUCAGUAGAUUGGUCGUGCCACUGGUAUGUACUGGUCUUACUGGCUCCUCCUUCCUGAUGAACCGUAAUGCCAUUAAUUUGGUGUUGCGGGGAGACUGGACUGUUACUUUGAAAAAAUUAGAGUGUUUAAAGCAGGCUAACGCUUGAAUACAUUAGCAUGGAAUAAUGAAAUAGGACGUUCGAUCUUAUUUUGUUGGUUUCUAGGAUUGACGUAAUGAUUAAUAGGGAUAGUUGGGGGCAUUAGUAUUCAAUUGUCAGAGGUGAAAUUCUUGGAUUUAUUGAAGACUAACUACUGCGAAAGCAUUUGCCAAGGAUGUUUUCAUUAAUCAAGAACGAAAGUUAGGGGAUCGAAGACGAUCAGAUACCGUCGUAGUCUUAACCAUAAACUAUGCCGACUAGGGAUCGGAUGAUGUUAAUUUUUUAAUGACUCAUUCGGCACCUUACG
Molecule: ribosomal RNA, 500 nt
Filed under: uncultured Glomeromycotina
Lineage: Eukaryota; Fungi; Glomeromycota
Description: partial small subunit ribosomal RNA
Rfam family: Eukaryotic small subunit ribosomal RNA
Source: RNAcentral